UGUGCUCUGUGUACACACACUGAUUCUCGCCCAAAAGCACUGAGCAUGACACAGGAGUGGGGAACUCUGAGCCCACUGGAAAGUUGAAAGGUGAGGAGGUUAGCUGAAGAGUCUAAGUAACAUUUCCAAGAUACUGGAUGUGAACUCAGAUCCUGCUUCUCCGUGGGAGAGAGCUUCCAUGCUUGGGGAACCAGGACGCCUCCACGUGCCCCUGCGCCAGGCCCCCAGCUCCACGAGGACAGACGCUCCUUUAUUCGGGACCUUGCCCUGUGUGUCUCUUCAUCUGGCUGUUAACUGGCAUCCUUUAUUAAACUGAAAUCUUGGUUGCAAUCUAAUUACAAAACUGAGCUUUGUAACAUUUCAGGCCUGGCAUGGAAUGCAGUUUUUACACACAUAGUAAGUGAAAUAGAAGAUGAAUAUGUGUAAAAAGAACGAUGUGUAAAAACAUGAUACAGUUACUGGUUAGCUGGGGGUAAGCUCUUUAUGAGCUCUGAAAAAUUUGUCUUAAGAUCCAUUUUUUUCUCAAAUGAGGAAACUAAGAUACAAAGAGACCAGGAGACAUGUCUGAGUCAUAUAUGGCAGGCUCCGCUUUCCUGAUCUUUCACACAGGUAACAAACCACACUCCAGCAUGUAACACCCAUGCCAGCAUUGUCAUGGUAUCCAUGGCUGUCACGGUGAUAAGCUUAUUUUUAUGCUGUAAUCAAACUUGCAAAUUAAAUGACUUACUUAUCCUUUUCUAUCCUAGAAGGAAGUGUUCUCUGUUGUCUAUGAGAGCCAGUAUCUAAAACCACUUAAAAAACUUACCACAUCCUGCUUGGUAUUGUAGCUAUUUGUGUUCACUGUCUAUCUCCCUUAUUAGCUAUACAUUCUUCAGAGUCUGAGACCAU
Molecule: long non-coding RNA, 888 nt
Organism: Manis pentadactyla (Chinese pangolin)
Lineage: Eukaryota; Metazoa; Chordata; Mammalia; Pholidota; Manidae
Exons: 4
Source: RefSeq, a predicted model, not a curated record